UUUUAGUUCCUUAGUUACAUUAUUAAAUCUUGUACACCUAGCCUGAUGGUAAGUCCGUUCUGGUUAAGGAAGCUCUAUGUUGUCUUUGGAUGUUAUGGAACACGGUUACACGAAGUCUAUAUAUACAUUUUUGUAGCCAUUUUGUGAAAUAAAUCCUGUAGUUGGGACUUAUUUACAAUGGUUGCCACUGAAUUUUAAUAUUUGUUUUUGAUAAUUAGAAAAACAAUCUUCAAAUUAAAUAUUUGACAUUUAACAAUCUUCCUAAAAUCUCUCUACAUUAACUACACGAUUGGUUACUAAAAUAAAACUUUCAAAAUAUUUAAUAUCAUUUAAUUACUACAAAAUUAUCAUUAUUGAUAUUGUUUUUCUGCAUGACUAUUACAAUUCAAUUAUAUUCAUCAAACCGCAGAGAUAUUUGAUAGCAUUUAAUUACUACAAAAUUACAAAAUAUUUAGACAAUGAUUCAUAAACAUAUGAUAAAUAAGAUCAACAUUAAUAAAAUAAAUGAGUUUUCUUUACGGGACGGGUUGGCGGGACGGGUUUGGCAGGACGUUACUUAAUAACAAUUCUAAACUAUAAAAUAAAAAUAUUUUAUAGAUAGUUACAUAGAUAGUUACAAAUUGCAAACUUUUAUAUAUACUAACUUUAAAAUAUAAUUUGUCUCCGCGGUAUACCGCAGGUGAAAAUCUAGUUAAAAGUUAAAACUCAAACCAGAGAAAAAUCACAAUUGAGAUAUGCUGAUAAUUUAUUAACUAUAAAUUGUUUGACUACUAUAUUGAAUCAGCAACUAGAAUCUUUUCAUUUUAUUAUUAUCUCAAAAAAUUGCU
RNAcentral lists this small RNA (827 nucleotides) under Arabidopsis thaliana (thale cress). RNAcentral describes it as "ATSL047550". Lineage: Eukaryota; Viridiplantae; Streptophyta; Magnoliopsida; Brassicales; Brassicaceae. The record is from RNAcentral.